This 959-nucleotide ribosomal RNA is filed under the name Staphylococcus aureus. RNAcentral describes it as "partial 23S ribosomal RNA". It matches the Rfam family "Bacterial large subunit ribosomal RNA", at positions 286 to 1246 of the family's 2925-position model. Lineage: Bacteria; Bacillati; Bacillota; Bacilli; Caryophanales; Staphylococcaceae. The record is from RNAcentral.
UGCUUGUUGGGGUUGUAGGACACUCUAUACGGAGUUACAAAGGACGACAUUAGACGAAUCAUCUGGAAAGAUGAAUCAAAGAAGGUAAUAAUCCUGUAGUCGAAAAUGUUGUCUCUCUUGAGUGGAUCCUGAGUACGACGGAGCACGUGAAAUUCCGUCGGAAUCUGGGAGGACCAUCUCCUAAGGCUAAAUACUCUCUAGUGACCGAUAGUGAACCAGUACCGUGAGGGAAAGGUGAAAAGCACCCCGGAAGGGGAGUGAAAUAGAACCUGAAACCGUGUGCUUACAAGUAGUCAGAGCCCGUUAAUGGGUGAUGGCGUGCCUUUUGUAGAAUGAACCGGCGAGUUACGAUUUGAUGCAAGGUUAAGCAGUAAAUGUGGAGCCGUAGCGAAAGCGAGUCUGAAUAGGGCGUUUAGUAUUUGGUCGUAGACCCGAAACCAGGUGAUCUACCCUUGGUCAGGUUGAAGUUCAGGUAACACUGAAUGGAGGACCGAACCGACUUACGUUGAAAAGUGAGCGGAUGAACUGAGGGUAGCGGAGAAAUUCCAAUCGAACCUGGAGAUAGCUGGUUCUCUCCGAAAUAGCUUUAGGGCUAGCCUCAAGUGAUGAUUAUUGGAGGUAGAGCACUGUUUGGACGAGGGGCCCCUCUCGGGUUACCGAAUUCAGACAAACUCCGAAUGCCAAUUAAUUUAACUUGGGAGUCAGAACAUGGGUGAUAAGGUCCGUGUUCGAAAGGGAAACAGCCCAGACCACCAGCUAAGGUCCCAAAAUAUAUGUUAAGUGGAAAAGGAUGUGGCGUUGCCCAGACAACUAGGAUGUUGGCUUAGAAGCAGCCAUCAUUUAAAGAGUGCGUAAUAGCUCACUAGUCGAGUGACACUGCGCCGAAAAUGUACCGGGGCUAAACAUAUUACCGAAGCUGUGGAUUGUCCUUUGGACAAUGGUAGGAGAGCGUUCUAAGG